AUGCAAUGUUGUGUUUACACCAGAAUGAAGGUCAACAAGACGGGGUAGAGGUAAACCUGGACUUCCUUGGGGAUGUAGAUCAACAAGAGGGGGUAGAGGUACAUCCGAUGCCUUUCUCUGUUCCGGUGCCUUGCUAUUUGAAUUUCCCAUACUUACCUUUUGUUCUGAUGAGUGACCUAUCACAAAUGUAGGCCAACAUGAGAAGCUAGAGUAGAGGUCCAUUUCAAAGUAAACUUACAGGAGGACAAAGCUACCAACUGCUUACAGGAAAAGCUUGAACCUGGUCGAGCUGGGAACAUUGCUAAAGAAAAGGUGUAAUUUAGCUUUGCCUAAAAUUCAGAGAAGUUGCAUAUGUAUAAAUUGUAUGAUUCACAAGUCCGAAAACCUUCAAGUGUCUUAU
This 400-nucleotide long non-coding RNA is filed under the name Triticum aestivum (bread wheat). Its description in RNAcentral is "long non-coding RNA (TAES_LNC004760)". The record is from RNAcentral. Lineage: Eukaryota; Viridiplantae; Streptophyta; Magnoliopsida; Poales; Poaceae.